AAUUAUGGUGAGGCGUAUGGGGCCGACUUCGGUCGGGCCGGGUUCUUUGGUUGCCGGUAGUUCCAACCCUGUACGUCUCACCACCCCG
This is a non-coding RNA of Escherichia coli 101-1, 88 nucleotides long. The record is from Rfam. Lineage: Bacteria; Pseudomonadati; Pseudomonadota; Gammaproteobacteria; Enterobacterales; Enterobacteriaceae.